Molecule: long non-coding RNA, 2184 nt
Organism: Vespa mandarinia (Asian giant hornet)
Lineage: Eukaryota; Metazoa; Arthropoda; Insecta; Hymenoptera; Vespidae
Source: RefSeq, a predicted model, not a curated record
AUCAAAGUCCAUUUCUUAUGUAUUGUAUAGUAAGCUCUUGUGAAAAUAGUUAUCAAAAAAUAAAAUAUGUAUAUAUAUAUACAUACAUCAGUGUUUAAACGGAGUUCAAAUCCAGAAAAAAUAAUUGGAGAAAGAGACAAUUUGCAUGGAAUUCGUGACAAUUCCACUAGUGUGAAGGAUCCCUUAACGAGGGCGGCCCUGACCGCUACCGUUAUCCUAUUCGAUGCUUCAUUGACUUUCAUCCUAACUUGGGUGAUGCGUGUUUCGCACACGUGACAUACAGUUUGCAUGGAUAUGUGACAUACGAGGUGUACGUAAACGAAACUACUGCUGCUACUGCUACUGCUACUGCUGCUGCUGCUGCUGCUGCUGUUGCUGCUGCUGCUGCUGCUGCUGCUGCUGCUGCUACUGUUGUUGGUAGAGACGAUGUUCGGCCGGUUAUACAGAACGUGUUACUUCAUGGUGACACGUAACACGGCUAGAUUGCCGCUAUAUUUCAUUUUUCCAUAAAUGUCGAAUGAAUGAUUCGAAACACGUAUAAGUUUCAUGAUAAAACAUGUAAUCGGGCCAGUUUUCAGAUUGAAAACUUUGAACAAGGGAUCAAGUGUUAGUAGAACAAAGACUCGUCUGGUGUUAGAUCAAGAGGUACCGAAGAUUUCUUUACUUGGAAAUUUUCAAGUUUUAAACCCACCAACCAAAUGUGCUGAUCGUACGACGGAAUAAUUUCGGUGUUAAAAGGACCACAUUAAAGAUUUCUCUCUCUCUCUCUCUUUUUCUCUCUCUUUCUCUCUCUCUCUCUCUCUCUUUUUCUAUGUAUCUAUCUAUCUCUCUUUUUCGAAGUGUCGAGAGAAGCGAUUUAUUUAAUUAAGCGACAGAUUCUGUGUCGUUCGGAAAGCGUAGUCGAUUUGAAACGGAAGGAGAGCUUCGAAAUGCGGAGGAGGGCAACAACGCAGCAACCAAACACUUGUGGCUUUUAAGCUUGUGGCGAACCGGUGCUCCUGAUUCAAUUACCUUUGAAAUCCUUUGUCGUCGGACAUUAAAGCCGGAGCUAAUCCUGGGAGCACGUUGGGAACUCCGAAUGGCUUUUCCUCCUCCUUCACCUCCUCCUCCUCCCUCUCUCUCUCUCUUUCUCUCUCUUUUCCUCUCUCUUUCUUUCCCUUUCUUUCUUUUUCUAUUUCUUUUAGUUUCUUUUCCUGUUUCUUUUUUCCUUCUUCUUUUUUUCCCUUUUUUUUUUUCUUUUUUUCCAUUGAUCAGAAAACAUCCCCGUGUUAAGCCGUGACGGGAAAUUUUAUGGGGCGUUUAACGAUAAUCGAUGAACAAAGAUGGCUACUCUGAUUAUAUUUUUAGUACACUCAUUAUUUUUCUAUUUGAUCAUUUUUAUUUUUGUUUUAUAUUCCUUUGCCGUUUAUUUAGAUAAUGAGGUACGAAUAAUACAAGGCAAUGGGAUUAUUAUUCUAGCUAAUAUGUUUUACUUUUCGAUGGACGAAUAGAGAAUGAUCUAAGUACUGAUAGAUUCGUACCAUAAAAAAGAAAGAGAGAGAGAGAGAGAGAGAGAAAGAGAGAAAGAAUGAGAUAGAGUGAAGGUGAAGGAUCGAAAAGGAAUGAUUCCUGAAUCGUUGAGCUUUCACACUCAGUUGAGCGUAAAUUUUUCAGUUUCGGCUGGUCGAACGUUAUCGAUGAUAAAAUUGGUAAGUGCAAGAAAAUUGGAAAAUCUCUUUCUGAAAUGACUUUUUUUUCUCUUUCUCUUUUUUUUUUUUUUUUUCGGAUAAAAAACCUAGCCGAAAGUCUACAGAUUUUUUUAGAAUUUUUUUUUUGUUUAGAUAAAUUUAGCACUACGACGAAAUGUAUCUAUUCACAUUUUUCUCUUUUUCUUCUUUUUUUAUUGCAAAUUUUUUUAAUUAUCAUUGUAAGAAAUAUUUGGUUUCGACAAUAGAUAAGUUUCGAUCAUGAACAAUCCAAUUGAUGCAAACAAAAUGUGUAAAAGUUAUUAAAACGGUGUUUAAAUCAUCUAUCUUUAUGGCUUAUUCAAAAAGCCGUGAAUUUCAAUGUAAAAUCCAUUCUAUCUCUUUCUGUCCCUUUCUCUCUCUCUCUCUCUCUCUCUCUCACUUUCAGAGGAGAGAGUUUUCUAGUUUUGAAACCACAAACGAGUACUACAUAACGAGAUCAUUCAUGGCUUUUGUUAUU